UCUCACAACCUCUCACUCUAUAAUCUCUUCGGUUUUCCCUCAAUUGUCCUUCUCCUUCAAUCUUUGUAUCGGUACUCAGCGAGAAUAUAAACAUAAAGACUGAUGUUAUUUUCAUCAACCUCUUGCCACUUUUUCUUCACUCAUUUCACUCAUUUGCCACUGCGACUUUCUCUUCUUCGUUGCCAUCGACCUCUUACAUAAAGACUGAUGAUGUUGAAUUGUGAUUUGGGCUGCUUCCCUCUCGACGAUGAAGUUUAUCCCAUUGUCUCACUGGCCGACCUUGACUCCAUAUUUAAUAAUGUAAGAUAAAAGGUAUUUUUAAGGCUGAUUUUCUAGAUGCUAGAUGGACAAGUGACUGGCAUAAAUAUGACUUUGAUUCAUUAGUUGGUUGUGGAAUCACGAAAUUGUGAGGCCGUAUUUAAUUUGAUGGUUGGCUCUAAAUUUGAUUGUAUAAUUUGUGUUCUUUAUUCCUUAUAGGCAUG
RNAcentral lists this long non-coding RNA (482 nucleotides) under Manihot esculenta (cassava). RNAcentral describes it as "long non-coding RNA (MESC_LNC011205)". Lineage: Eukaryota; Viridiplantae; Streptophyta; Magnoliopsida; Malpighiales; Euphorbiaceae. The record is from RNAcentral.